UUGUGCUUUCAUCUCAUUGAUCUUUUCUUUUAUUGUUCACUUGAUGGAUAGGUGGGCUGGGCAAGCAUUGUUUGGCACUGAUGCUGCAAAAUGGAUAUGCGUUAGUGCUAUAGACGUUACUCAGCUCUCUGUUGCCCGGUAUGUAGUAUGACUUCUAUUUCUUGUGCUUGAUCUUAUGAACUAGAUGAUCAUUAGUGAAUGUCUAUUCUGGUUGCAGUGUAUCUUGUGAUCAAAAUUUAUACAUAAAGUAAUCAAAAACAAUUUCUACUUUUUAAUCACAUAUAUGACAUCUUCUUUUCAAAUCUAUUUUUACUAUGUUUUAUUUAAAAAAAAAAAUUAAUUUUAAUACAACAAUGUUUAAUUUUUUUUUUUAAGAACCCUUCAUUAAGAAACUCCCAAUGGAGCACAAAAUCUAUAAGUUUCUUAAUUAAAUUUUUUAACUAAUUUUUAUUAUUAAACAAGUCACUAAGAAACCCAAAUGGAGUUAUAGGGAUAAUGAUGCUCUAAGUCUUUGUUCCUUUUUCUUUUUGAUUGGUUUAUACUUCCUUUUUUUUUUUUUUUUUUUAAAAGGACUUAUUUUGGCUAACUAGACAAAGAUGAUUAAUAUAUGAUGUUAAAUAUUGUAUUUGAAUCCACUAGAUUAGAACAAGUGUAUGUCAGCAAUGAUAGCGAACAAAGAUGUUGCUUAUGGUUUAUACUUGCCAACUUGAUUUUAUGGGAUUAUUUGUGUUUGAUGUGAUUGGCUAGCUUGCAUUGAACAUAUCCUGCAAGGACUUGCACACUCGAGAUAGAUAAAGAAUCCAUAUGCUAAGCCGAAAUUCUAAAGUGUCUAUAUAUGAUUGAAGGAUCUUAGAGCCUCAUGUUUACUCAAACAUUCCUCUGUUCAUACAAACAAUUUAAUACUUUCUCGACAGACAUUGAAGAUCAAUCAGCUCGGCAGCGUCGUAGUAGGGAAGAGAACAAUGAGAAGAUGCCCUUAUGUGUCCGAAUACCAGAAGAAGAUCGUUCUGCUAUAGAGAUAUGUCUCAGCAUCUAAAAACUAAGGAUCUAACUUUGACGGCUCUCAUUCCAUAAGCUUCCAAUCUCUCUCUCACUCUCUCUCUCUCUCUGAUAUUAAUCAGACCCUUAUAGGGUUAUCAUCUUUUUAAGAUUCUCGAUUUCUGUCGAGGUGUUAAUGGUCUAAAUUGAAUUUUCCUUUUUUUUUCCUUUCUUCGUUUAGUUUCAGGAAUCAGCUCCUCGCUUGAAAUCUUCAACCGUAUGACCACACUCUUUGUUGUUUUAGCUUUUCACACUCUUUGUUGUUUUAGCUUUUUCUCGCUAAAUUUGUUAACACUGAUAUUGGGUUUUAGUCGGAGUAGACUGAUAUAGCUUGAUGGUUAUUAUUAAGCCAUCACUGAUUUACAGAAGAAGCAAAUAUAUUUUACCAAAGAAUUUGGUUGCGGUAGUAGAUAUUGUGUGGAAAAGAUAGCGGAUUGGUUAGUUGGUGUUUUUUGGGGUAUAAAGGUGAAGUCUUUGCGUGUGUAAUCUGAGAUAAGGAUUGGAUGGUGGGAAAAGAGGAUGCGAUGGGAGAAUGAUGAGGAUGCUCCUGGUUUUCACUGUUUGAUGUAUCAUGUUCAUGCCUUUAUCUUGAUCGUUAUGUUUAUGUACAAUACUUUGAAACAUAUAGAGUGUGAGUAUGAUCUCAAGACAUGUAUAGAUUUUUCCAAAGUGAGUUUCACAACAUGCAGUUCUAUGAAAUAAAACCUCAUAAUGUUAUCUUA
Molecule: long non-coding RNA, 1760 nt
Organism: Brassica napus (rape)
Lineage: Eukaryota; Viridiplantae; Streptophyta; Magnoliopsida; Brassicales; Brassicaceae
Exons: 2
Source: RefSeq, a predicted model, not a curated record